UUACAGUAUGAGUUAUAAAUAUCUUACUUAAAAACUUAAAAGUGCUUAAAUAAUUCCAUAUUUGUCAUUCGAUUAUUGUAUGUUAUUUAUUUGCUAUUAGCAAAGCCUUAUUGUGAUGUUAUUGAGGUACGAGGAGAUUUAAAACCAGAUCAAGGUGCUCGACCUGAAGUCUCAAGAGUUCAAACAAGAAUCAGAGAUGAUGGAGCAAACCAUCACCACUAUGCCAGAUGUUAUAGCGGAGCUACAGUAAGAAAUACUGUAAACAAUAUAUGUUUGACCAUAUAAAUAUUAGACUUCCAUGCUUGUUUUUAUUUGUUGUCUAUUUCAGGGGUUUGUCAAACACUAUGGCGUUCAAACAUGGGACAGUCACAGUAGUGAUGGGUAAUGUGCACAGGGAUAUAGCUUCCUGUCAACAGAGGAAGUCUCAUCACGCACAGAUUCACUCAACGCCGGGCUGUCAUGAAGGACACAGAGGGUAAUCUACAUGAAGCAACUAAAAGCCAAUCUGAAGUUGGCUCAAGAGUACCGAGAGCUGCAGAAAGUUCUGAUGAUUGCCAGACAAGAAGCCGUUUGUGUUUUUGACAUAAGAAACAGAGCAGAGGCCUACAUCCAAGAUCACAAGCAGCUUUCUUUGUUGCAGAAGAGGAUGCACAAAGCCAUGCUAAAAUACUUCAAACGCCGCAGCGUCUACAGCCAGGCAGAGCUGGCCCGCUUCCAGACCCUCUCCAACCAGAACAACCAGAAAAUGAAAGCCCUCCAGGAGAAGUUGUCAAACGCAAUCCAUCACCUCUCUGAGUUCCUGCUCUCACUGACAGAUGACUCAACUACCAGCCAUGUCCCGCAGCAAGCAAACAGACCCGUCGCAGAUGCCGAUGGAUGGAGCAGGAAGAUGCCUACAGUUCAGAUAGCGGAGUAAUUGGACGCUCACCUGCGCCAGACAACUUACUUAAACCCCCAGCAUGCUUCACUCUCUCCCCUGUCCGACGCUCACGGCCCAAUCCAUAACAAUGAAGCAGGUGACUUUCAUGCUACUGUCAGGAAUGAUCUAAUUUUAGCGGGGUGAAUGAUUGCAAUUGGCUUUGCCUCGUCAGAUAAUUAAUCUAUGUCACCAUUAAUUGGAAAAGAGAAUAAUUAGGGGGCUGUGUUGACAGAAAUUCUACGCUUCUCUAGAUUCUUGGAUCUAAUUACACCUACUUAAAACUCUCUGACCUUAACUACCGGAUAGUAUACCUGCGUAACCCUAACCAGGCUCGGGUUGGUCUCGACCGCCUCUCGCUCUGUGUCCUUUGUCAUUUUUUUCCUCCUUUCUUGCUUGUUUAUCCUCUCUUUUCCUGUCUCCUCAGAGAGCUGUCUCCCUCAAUCACUUUUCAAUAUUCAAU
Molecule: long non-coding RNA, 1379 nt
Filed under: Sinocyclocheilus anshuiensis
Lineage: Eukaryota; Metazoa; Chordata; Actinopteri; Cypriniformes; Cyprinidae
Description: lncRNA (ENSSANG00000018454.1)
Source: RNAcentral